This 486-nucleotide ribosomal RNA is filed under the name uncultured bacterium. RNAcentral describes it as "bacterial SSU rRNA". It matches the Rfam family "Bacterial small subunit ribosomal RNA", at positions 18 to 518 of the family's 1533-position model. The record is from RNAcentral.
CUGGCGUCAGGAUGAACGACUGGACGGCACGCCUAACACAUGCAAGUCGAACGGAGUUAAGAGAGCUUGCUCUUUAAACUUAGUGGCGGACGGGUGAGUAACACGUGAGCAACCUGCCUUCAGAGAGGGAUAGCUUCUGGAAACGGAUGGUAAUACCUCAUAACAUAUUGAUACGGCAUCGUAUUGAUAUCAAAGAUUUAUCGCUGAAAGAUGGGCUCGCGUCUGAUUAGCUGGUUGGUGAGGUAACGGCCCACCAAGGCAACGAUCAGUAGCCGGACUGAGAGGUUGAACGGCCACAUUGGGACUGAGACACGGCCCAGACUCCUACGGGAGGCAGCAGUGGGGAAUAUUGCACAAUGGGCGCAAGCCUGAUGCAGCGAUGCCGCGUGAGGGAAGAAGGUUUUCGGAUUGUAAACCUCUGUCAUCGGGGACGAAAAUGACGGUACCCGAGAAGGAAGCUCCGGCUAACUACGUGCCAGCCGCCGC